CCUACGGGAGGCAGCAGUGGGGAAUAUUGGGCAAUGGAGGAAACUCUGACCCAGCGACGCCGCGUGCGGGAUGAAGGCCUUCGGGUUGUAAACCGCUUUCAGCAGGGAAGAAGCGAAAGUGACGGUACCUGCAGAAGAAGCACCGGCUAACUAUGUGCCAGCAGCCGCGGUAAUACAUAGGGUGCAAGCGUUGUCCGGAAUUAUUGGGCGUAAAGAGCUCGUAGGUGGUUCGUCACGUCGGAUGUGAAAAUCUGGGGCUUAACCCCAGACCUGCAUUCGAUACGGGCGAGCUUGAGUAUGGUAGGGGAGUCUGGAAUUCCUGGUGUAGCGGUGGAAUGCGCAGAUAUCAGGAGGAACACCAAUGGCGAAGGCAGGACUCUGGGCCAUUACUGACACUGAGGAGCGAAAGCGUGGGGAGCGAACAGGAUUAGAUACCCUGGUAGUCCACGCCGUAAACGGUGGGCACUAGUUGUGGGGACCUUCCACGGUCUCUGCGACGCNGCUACGCAUAGUGCCCGCCGUCGGGAGGUACGAGUCGCGAAGAAGUUAAAACGUUAACUAAAGUUAGAAGUUAGUUACGGCGUGAGACGUUGCCGACGGACGACCGACGAGGGGAGGUUAGG
RNAcentral lists this ribosomal RNA (623 nucleotides) under uncultured bacterium. RNAcentral's name for it is "bacterial SSU rRNA". The stretch from base 1 to 520 matches the Rfam family "Bacterial small subunit ribosomal RNA", at positions 338 to 873 of the family's 1533-position model. The record is from RNAcentral.